This 513-nucleotide ribosomal RNA is filed under the name uncultured bacterium. RNAcentral's name for it is "partial 16S ribosomal RNA". It matches the Rfam family "Bacterial small subunit ribosomal RNA", at positions 28 to 523 of the family's 1533-position model. The record is from RNAcentral.
GACGAACGCUGGCGGCAUGCCUAAUACAUGCAAGUCGAGCGAACGGAUGAAGUGCUUGCACUUCUGACGUUAGCGGCGAACGGGUGAGUAACACGUAAGGAAUCUACCUAUAAGCGGGGGAUAACAUUCGGAAACGGGUGCUAAUACCGCAUAAUAUCUUCUUCCGCAUGGAAGAAGAUUGAAAGACGGCUCUGCUGUCACUUAUAGAUGACCUUGCGGUGCAUUAGUUAGUUGGUGGGGUAAUGGCCUACCAAGACGAUGAUGCAUAGCCGACCUGAGAGGGUGAUCGGCCACAUUGGGACUGAGACACGGCCCAAACUCCUACGGGAGACAGCAGUAGGGAAUCUUCCGCAAUGGGCGAAAGCCUGACGGAGCAAUGCCGCGUGAGUGAAGAAGGCCUUCGGGUCGUAAAACUCUGUUAUAAGAGAAGAACAAAUUGUAGAGUAACUGCUACAGUCUUGACGGUAUCUUAUCAGAAAGCCACGGCUAACUACGUGCCAGCAGCCGCCGUAA